AAUGGCUUCUGUUUUACUAGCAUAUUCUUUCUUUUGUCUGCCUAGCUUGCAUACUUUGAUGAAGGAAGCUGCCAUGAGGGCAACCUCUGACCCCUGGCCAGCAAGUAACCAAGGUUCUUAGUUCAACAGGUUGCAAGGGAUUGACUUCUAUGAGCAAGUACUGAGUGAGACUUGGAAGUCAAUCCUUCCCCAGUCAAACCUUCAGACGAGACUGAAGACCCUGGAUUGACACCUUGAUGGAGGGACAAGAAGCAGAGGACCCAGAUAAGCUGUGCCCAGACUCAUUUACCAUGUAAACUGAGAUAAUAAAUGAGUAUUGUUUUAAGCUGCUAAGUUUUGGGGUAACUUGUAAUGCAGCAAUAUAACAUAAUAGAUUUGACUAGAAAGAAGAGGCAAGAACAAAGGAAAAAAUGCAAAAGAUGCUUAUCCUCAAUUACACAAAUUAUUUUGACUUUUAGUUUUUCAAGGCAUCUUUUGCUGAACAGAUAAUACUGACUAUUUUUUUAAUUAUUUAAAAUCUAUUUAAUAAUAUAAUACUUUUAAAA
RNAcentral lists this long non-coding RNA (545 nucleotides) under Marmota monax (woodchuck). The record is from RNAcentral. Lineage: Eukaryota; Metazoa; Chordata; Mammalia; Rodentia; Sciuridae.